AGAAUCAACGCUGGCGGCGUGCCUAACACAUGCAAGUCGAACGAGAAAGUGGAGCAAUCUACAAGUACAGUGGCGUACGGGUGAGUAACACGUGACUAACCUACCCUCGAGUGGGGAAUAACCUCGGGAAACCGGGGCUAAUACCGCAUAACAUCUACGGAUCAAAUGCGUAAGCAGCUUGAGGAGGGGGUCGCGGCUGAUUAGCUAGUUGGCGGGGUAAUGGCCCACCAAGGCAAUGAUCAGUAGCCGGCCUGAGAGGGCGCACGGCCACACUGGAACUGAAACACGGUCCAGACUCCUACGGGAGGCAGCAGUGGGGAAUUUUGCGCAAUGGGGGAAACCCUGACGCAGCAACGCCGCGUGGAGGAUGAAGCCCCUUGGGGUGUAAACUCCUUUCGAUCGGGACGAUAAUGACGGUAGUGGGAGAAGAAGCCCCGGCUAACUUCGUGCCAGCAGCCGCGGUAAUACGAAGGGGGCUAGCGUUGUUCGGAUUUACUGGGCGUAAAGGGUGUGUAGGCGGUUGCUUAAGUUUGGUGUGAAAUCUCCCGGCUCAACUGGGAGGGUGCGCCGAAUACUGAGUGACUCGAGUGCGGGAGAGGAAAGUGGAAUUCCUGGUGUAGCGGUGAAAUGCGUAGAUAUCAGGAGGAACACCGGUGGUGUAGACGGCUUUCUGGACCGUAACUGACGCUGAGACACGAAAGCGUGGGUAGCAAACAGGAUUAGAUACCCUGGUAGUCCACGCCCUAAACGAUGCACAUUUGGUGUGGGUCAUUCAGUUGAUCCGUGCCGGAGCUAACGCGUUAAAUGUGCCGCCUGGGGAGUACAGUCGCAAGGCUGAA
RNAcentral lists this ribosomal RNA (839 nucleotides) under uncultured bacterium. Its description in RNAcentral is "bacterial SSU rRNA". It matches the Rfam family "Bacterial small subunit ribosomal RNA", at positions 26 to 898 of the family's 1533-position model. The record is from RNAcentral.